This is a long non-coding RNA of Haliotis rubra (blacklip abalone), 2853 nucleotides long. RefSeq lists it as uncharacterized. The transcript is spliced from 4 exons. NCBI's taxonomy places the organism in Eukaryota, Metazoa, Mollusca, Gastropoda, Lepetellida, Haliotidae. The record is from RefSeq and is a predicted model, not a curated record.
UUUCAGGGUACCAUCCACUGUUGUAAGGACUGUACAAACUGUGACAAGUUCAAUUCACAAUGGACACGUUGUUAUUACCAGGUGAUAAAUCUGCCUUGGCAUUCUUUAACAGAGUUCUAAACGGUUCAUUAACAUCUCACCAGAGAAGACACAGAAGCAACAAGAACCACAAUUACUGAGCCAUAAAUCAAGCAUGGACUUUUCAGAAAAUGAGUUCAGGAUCAUAUUUCUAUUAAUGAUUACACUCUGACGUGAGUUUAAACGAGGUCUGGCACAAUUUUCCAUGAAUAACCUUCUUUAUCUAUAUAUAGAUGACAAGGUAAAGACAUGUAUCAGCACACUAAGCUGAUUAAAAGAGGCAUGACAAUUGUGGCAAACAGCUCCACGACAGUGUAGUUAAAGCCAUAUUGUCAUGAACGACAACCUUGGUAAACUCUACAUAUAACAAACUCUCCAAACCAACACUAAAAAUUGUCAAAAUGAAAUUAUGACGAAGCUUUAGAACAGAAACUAUACGAAGUAUCCGUUUCCUCACGACAUAUCCACCCAAAUAUGAGACAAUCCUCUGUUUGUUCGCUUGUGUCUACGGACUACAUUUUGUCCACUUACGUCCAGGGACAUACAGACAAUCCCCUGUAUGUUCGUGUGUGUCCAGAUGAACGGGUCAGUCAAACUUCAUCUGCAGCAACUCAAGACAUGAUCCAAGUGACUGGAGACCGUGAUAAACAAACCUCGUUUCGGACACUGUCCACUACAGUAAGUUGACGAACAACUCACUUAUAUCAUCGCUAUUUACUUUCCUCAGUGUCAAUUGUAAGACAAAGUCAGCACCUCUUGACACUUGCUUGAACAAACAAUGUUAGUGUAGCGUGAGCAAAGAAACGGUUUUCAUCCAACUGAAGUCCCUGUCUAAGCAGGUUGUGAUAACGUGAUGAUAUACUUCCAGUUUCCUGGGUCAGACAACUGGGUUAAGCUGUGCACACAACACAAUCUGAUAAUCCCCUCCAAACACAACCAACUGAUUCACACAUAUGCAAUGGCAGUUCUAACUGCCAUAUUUGUUUGUGGGCAAUUUUAAUUGAAAAGAAUCUUUGGUAUUUCUUCCAGUGCAGAGCAGUGCAUAAGAUUUGGGAAUAAGAUCCAGCCUGAAGUUAAACCUCUGGAAUGUGUAGCAUGCCAAGCAAUGUGAACGCUACCUGAACGCAUCCGACCCGUCUCAGAAUAUGCAAGGUUUUGUCUGCGUCUGAGUGUGGUGUCCAAGUUGCAGAGCAUUAAGGGCCGGUGAUUGGUUCCGUGUGAGAAUCCUGCAUAUGCAGCCAAUGACCCAAAGGCAACCAGACCUGCCCAAUGGUGCCCUCAUUGCAUGACCUAAUUGCACGGAUAUGUUCCAGUCGUGUUGACUGACCACAAACGCAGCAUCAUUCCACUGGAUUAACGGGCAGAAGUGAUUCCUUGUGAAUAAUUAUUCAAGUUUCAUGGACCCCGCUUUAAAACUGAAGCCAAGAUGUGAACAGGCAUAUUUACAGCUGGUGUACAUUAAUUCAGCAGGAAGUGAGAAUACAAUCUCGGCUAUCACUGACAGUUGAGACCCUGUCAGAACACCAAGCAAUCUAUGGCCAGCAAAUAUAAAGAGUCUAUAGAACCAGAGCAGCAGCAAUGACAGUGACCUGCUCCCUCCAGCCCCCCUCAGGCUCUGACCCUACCUGGGAAGAUAACAAUGCACUGGUUACAUGCCGAGGAUCACUCCAACCAGGGGAAUACCACAUGGUAAAAUCAGACGGGCUCUGUCCAUGUUUGUAAACAUUCCCUCAUAAUGUUUCCUGGACCCAUUAUUGGCCAGUUUUGAGGGAAAAUGGCUAAAAAGUGAGUAGGAAUGUAUCUGACUUACCUAAAGUGUGAAAUAACACCUCAAUCCUGAGUUAAAACAAUUACAAACACUUCUAACUUCUUUAUCACAGCUCUCUGUUAGCAAGGUCAAGGGCAUUAACUAGGGGAGGUAACUCUUUGUACCCUACUCCCCCACAUGUCAAUAAUGCUCCCCAGUCUCUAUGGUGAAGAUGAUGUAAAAGCUCAAAAGGGGGGUAGCAAUAAAACUGUCACCUGGGCAAGGGAGCUCAUUAAACUGAAUUUCAGUCUUAUUUACAGAGUAAUUAAAAAGAAAUUAAUCUUCUCUUCAAUGAAAGUUAUGGAGCCUGUUGGACUAGGUGAUGUAGAUUUAAAUUACCAAUUCAGUAUCAGAAAUAAAUAUUAUGGGAAAACUAUAUUUCCAGCUUAAUAUUCUAAUUAUAUUUAUUUUUUCUUAGGUACAAAUUUUCAAAUCAACCAAACCCUUAUUAUAUCCUUGAUAAUGUAAAUACUUUCAAAGAAAAAGAAAAUUUAUUUUUAGAGUGACUUUUGACUUUUGACCCCAAACAACAUUCAAAAGCUACAUAGAUAAUGCAACUUGAUCACAGUAACUUUUGUCUGAGGGCAUGUCUACAUAAUCUCAAAUCAUCAGUGACACUUAAAUUACAAUGGAUUUGUACACUUUGUCAUUUCAGUGGCCCUUUGUGAUUGGUAUUGAUCUCUCUGUGUUAAUUACACAAUAUUACUUAGUUACAAUGAUGGUCAAACUGAAAAGGUCAACAAAAUAAACAUUCAAAUGUCUCCAAGCUAUCAUAGUUACUGCACUUUGAUUACAGUAACUUUUGUCUGUAAUAUUCUCAAAUCAUCAGUGUCCGACAAAUAUUUAAAUUACAAUAGUCCAUUGAUUGAAAUUGAUCUUUAUGUCUGUAACAUUCUCAAAUCAGCAGUGUCUGACACAUAUUUAAAUUGCAAUAGUCCAUUGAGAUCAAAAUUGAUCUUUAUGUGUUA